RNAcentral lists this ribosomal RNA (399 nucleotides) under uncultured bacterium. RNAcentral's name for it is "bacterial SSU rRNA". It matches the Rfam family "Bacterial small subunit ribosomal RNA", at positions 362 to 773 of the family's 1533-position model. The record is from RNAcentral.
UAUUGCACAAUGGGCGCAAGCCUGAUGCAGCGACGCCGCGUGAGGGAUGACGGCCUUCGGGUUGUAAACCUCUUUCACCACCGACGAAGCAGAAGUGACGGUAGGUGGGGAAGAAGCGCCGGCCAACUACGUGCCAGCAGCCGCGGUAAGACGUAGGGCGCGAGCGUUGUCCGGAUUUAUUGGGCGUAAAGAGCUCGUAGGCGGCUCGUCGCGUCGGCUGUGAAAACCUGCCGCUCAACGGUAGGCGUGCAGCUGAUACGGGCGGGCUAGAGUUCGGUAGGGGAGACUGGAAUUCCUGGUGUAGCGGUGAAAUGCGCAGAUAUCAGGAGGAACACCGGUGGCGAAGGCGGGUCUCUGGGCCGAUACUGACGCUGAGGAGCGAAAGCGCGGGGAGCGAAC